GACGGAGGAUGCAAGCGUUAUCCGGAAUCAUUGGGCGUAAAGAGUACGUAGGUGGCACAUCAAGUCUGCUUUCAAAAACCGAAGCUCAACUUCGGAAAGGGAGUGGAAACUGAUAAGCUAGAGUAUAGUAGGGGUAGAGGGAAUUCCUAGUGUAGCGGUGAAAUGCGUAGAGAUUAGGAAGAACACCAGUGGCGAAGGCGCUCUACUGGGCAUAUACUGACACUGAGGGACGAAAGCUAGGGUAGCGAAAGGG
Molecule: ribosomal RNA, 253 nt
Filed under: uncultured bacterium
Lineage: Bacteria
Description: partial 16S ribosomal RNA
Rfam family: Bacterial small subunit ribosomal RNA
Source: RNAcentral